RNAcentral lists this ribosomal RNA (253 nucleotides) under uncultured bacterium. RNAcentral's name for it is "partial 16S ribosomal RNA". It matches the Rfam family "Bacterial small subunit ribosomal RNA", at positions 524 to 776 of the family's 1533-position model. The record is from RNAcentral.
UACAGAGGGUGCAAGCGUUGUUCGGAAUUAUUGGGCGUAAAGCGCGUGUAGGCGGCUUUGCAAGUCGGGUGUGAAAGCCCUCAGCUCAACUGAGGAAGUGCGCCCGAAACUGCAGAGCUUGAGUGCCGGAGAGGAUGGCGGAAUUCCCCAAGUAGAGGUGAAAUUCGUAGAUAUGGGGAGGAACACCGGUGGCGAAGGCGGCCUUCUGGACAGUGACUGACGCUGAGACGCGAAAGCGUGGGGAGCAAACAGG